CAUGCAAGUCGAACGAGAGAGAAGGAGCUUGCUUCUUCGAUUGAGUGGCGAACGGGUGAGUAACGCGUGAGGAACCUGCCUCAAAGAGGGGGACAACAGUUGGAAACGACUGCUAAUACCGCAUAAGCCCACGGGUCGGCAUCGACCUGAGGGAAAAGGAGCAAUCCGCUUUGAGAUGGCCUCGCGUCCGAUUAGCUAGUUGGUGAGGUAACGGCCCACCAAGGCGACGAUCGGUAGCCGGACUGAGAGGUUGAACGGCCACAUUGGGACUGAGACACGGCCCAGACUCCUACGGGAGGCAGCAGUGGGGAAUAUUGCACAAUGGGGGAAACCCUGAUGCAGCGACGCCGCGUGGAGGAAGAAGGUCUUCGGAUUGUAAACUCCUGUUGUUGAGGAAGAUAAUGACGGUACUCAACAAGGAAGUGACGGCUAACUACGUGCCAGCAGCCGCGGUAAAACGUAGGUCACAAGCGUUGUCCGGAAUUACUGGGUGUAAAGGGAGCGCAGGCGGGAAGACAAGUUGGAAGUGAAAUCUAUGGGCUCAACCCAUAAACUGCUUUCAAAACUGUUUUUCUUGAGUAGUGCAGAGGUAGGCGGAAUUCCCGGUGUAGCGGUGGAAUGCGUAGAUAUCGGGAGGAACACCAGUGGCGAAGGCGGCCUACUGGGCACCAACUGACGCUGAGGCUCGAAAGUGUGGGUAGCAAACAGGAUUAGAUACCCUGGUAGUCCACACCGUAAACGAUGAUUACUAGGUGUUGGAGGAUUGACCCCUUCAGUGCCGCAGUUAACACAAUAAGUAAUCCACCUGGGGAGUACGACCGCAAGGUUGAAACUCAAAGGAAUUGACGGGGGCCCGCACAAGCAGUGGAGUAUGUGGUUUAAUUCGACGCA
This 891-nucleotide ribosomal RNA is filed under the name uncultured bacterium. RNAcentral describes it as "bacterial SSU rRNA". It matches the Rfam family "Bacterial small subunit ribosomal RNA", at positions 54 to 958 of the family's 1533-position model. The record is from RNAcentral.